UGGCAGUGAUUUGACAUUACCCUUGCUUCUGAUGUAACCCUUGAAGCAAAUGGAAAAUAAUGGUUGAAUUUCUUAAUAUGAGCCG
This 85-nucleotide small nucleolar RNA is filed under the name Sorghum bicolor (sorghum). The record is from RNAcentral. Lineage: Eukaryota; Viridiplantae; Streptophyta; Magnoliopsida; Poales; Poaceae.